This 3394-nucleotide long non-coding RNA is filed under the name Carica papaya (papaya). RNAcentral's name for it is "long non-coding RNA (CPAP_LNC002286)". Lineage: Eukaryota; Viridiplantae; Streptophyta; Magnoliopsida; Brassicales; Caricaceae. The record is from RNAcentral.
AAUUAAAGUAAUUAAAUUAAGGCUUGAGGGUUUAAUUGAAGGAAUUUUCAGAAAUUAAAGAUCUUUUAUAAAGUUAAGGAACCUAAAUGAAUAAUUUUCGUAAAGAUGGGGUCAAAACCACAAUUAAUAAAGAAUAUGUGGCAGAUGGCAAAAUCCAGAAUAGAUGGUGUGUGACAUCCUUAAUACUUGUGGGUAGAUGGGAGCCAACUGCUUAAAUAGUUACGAGUGCUAGAACAAAAAUUUGACAUUGAAGCAGAAAUAGAAAACCCCUUACAAACAAUCUAAGUAUUAAUUCUUACAUCGAGGCCAUAAGGUGUCUAUCUUAAGUAUAAAAUACAAAAUGUAGAAUCCUUACGAAAAUUUACAUUAGAGUGUGGAAGAACUAUUGCACUCGAAUUAUGCUCUAAAGAAUCACCAAGGAUUUUUAAAUGGGUCUAGUCGGUCUCCAAGGGGGACUUAGGGAGCAAACACUCAAUUUUCUUAAUACCAGGGGCCACAAAUUAGGAGUGAGUUCCAUAUAAACUCAAUAAAGAGAACAAUAUUUAAAAUUACAUAACUAAAGUUUAAAGAGUAAAUGAUGUGAACAAUACUUGUUAUACCUCUUACUUGGGAGAACCGUCGCGAAAUGGAGUCAUUUAAUCAUUCAAAAAAUCCCUAUCUUUGUUAAGAAAUCAGGUGAGACAAUUAUACAACCAUGUUAAGAACACCAUUAAUCAACCUUUAGGCAAGCAUGUUACAUAAUAUAAAACCAAACAAAUGGCAUACUCGAUAAACUGAAAAGUCAGUCACAUAAACCAUCAUAGUGACACCAAUAACACAAACAACAUAUUUUACAAAUAUAAGAACCAUUAUACAAAUCACGAUUAGUAUUCUACAUCAUUUCUAGGCUUAUUAAAUCAUUUAUUGACCUUCACACGAAGCCGUUACGACAUAUAUCCACUGAGGGUAAAAGGGUUCCUCAGCUACCGCUGUGAAUCACCAACCAUUCCCAAGCCAAUCUCAUUUCAUUUCCCUAUCUAAACUAUGACCAAGGCCUUACUUUGCCACUGUUGCCCUAUAUAUACCUAAUGUGUAUCCGCUCUCAUCAGAGGAACUGUUGAUCAUCACAAGGAGCAGUUCACCGACACUUUUCUGGAGGAGGGAGAAACAAAAAUUCCACAAGUUAACAGUUGAAUGGAUUUUUCCAUUCUUUUCACUUGUUUAUGCUCACAAAAAUCUCAUGCCAUGUUAUUUAUGUCAAUGAAACUAUUUUUGAAUCCACUCAGAUUCCAUAACUUGUUCGAUCCAAAGGCCUCUUUUCACAUGCUCAGCUCGUAAGCCCAUUUUCCAUAUCCGGCCUGAAGGCCUAUUUACCAUACUUGACCUUCAGGUCAUCCUUUUGAGACAAGGCUUACUAGAAUGACCCUCUUCACCAUUACCAAGGCAAGAUAAACGCCAAACCCCCAUGAAGUUUCUAAUUGUCAUGUUUCUGUGCGUCAUGUGAAAUAUGUCAUGUGCUAAACAAUAUUAAAUAUCAAGGGGACUCAUGUGCAAGACAUCAAAUUUAAGAAAUGCCAUAUAGCAGCUGUCCUAGCAGGAAUAUAUGCAUUUAAUUGAUAAUUCACCAAACGAGCAUUAAUUAACAUAAACAACCAAAACAAGCAGGAAAGUCCAAUUCAACAAUCCCCCAUUUACAAAGGGUUAAAUUCUUGUUUUCCAAGCCGUCCUUCCUAACAUUUUUAUCAUGACUAAUUGUUAAAACAUGUCACAAAACAAGCAAUAAAACUUUUUUCAACAAAUAUCCAAUUUUCACUCAAAUUAAUUAACUAAAAAAAGCAUUUAGGAAUAUAAAUAAAAAUACUAAAGAAUUCUUUAGCGUAACCGAGUCGACUUAGUCUUUUGGAAAUGAAGGAAAGCUUUUAGAAAUUUCCUAACAAGUUUGUGAAAACUCUUACUUUCCUCCUUUCUUGCUCCUUUCUCUUUCUAAAGAUCUCUUUUCUCUCUCUCUCUCUCUUUAAUCUUGAUAAAUUGAAGAAGAAAAUGAUCAGAAAAAUGAAGAGGAGAUGAGAGCUUUAUAAAGGGGCAAGGAGGGUCGAAUUUGCGCCACGUGGAAAUGAUUGGAGACGUGGAGUAAAAGGGUGAAAAUGGGGCCCACAAAGCAUGGCCAAACAAGGCCAUGCAUGGCCAACAAGAUAAGGCUCAUCUCGUUAAUUGCGACUGUCAGUGCGCAAUAGCGCACUAUACACGCCCUACUACGCACUGUGUGCAUGCGUAGGUCGCCAUGCCGUGCACUGUGCAUGCACAGGCUACUUGCGAUGCAUUGGUGCAGCCCUGCUACACACUAAGCAUAGCCAUGUCAUGCAUUGUGCGUGUGUAAUACAGGCACAUUCAUGUGCAGGAUGGAAUCAAGGCACGUGGGUUCACCCGCACGAGCUGACUGUAGAUCAGACUAUAGGCUCAUAGGUUGCAGGCUCACGGAUUGCUUCCCAUUCGUGGAUUUCUUUACCGUUUUCUCCUGAAAAUAAUGUUAGUUCUGAAACAAAUUUUGGGAAUUUUAAUAAAAUCAUUUAAAUCAUCAUAAAAUGAACUAUUGGAAAAUUAAAUUACUAACAAAAUUUAAAUGGCCAAAGGCCCGAAAUACUAAAGUUCGAUGCUCGCUAAAUGCAACGAAUUUUUAGGGUGUUGCACAGUCAGGAUUAGAUCCCUUAAAAUUUGGUCUAGUGGCUCUUAACUGAAAUCCACUUAAACGACUCAUAUUGGAUAUGAUGAAAUCAGAUGAUGAGGGUUGGUGUAAUAAAAUGGGAAACCUUAAUUGAAUUUAUUUUUAUUCAAAGAAAAAGAGCCAAAAUUGAGAGAGGAAGAGAGCAAAGUUUGAGCGAAGAGAGAGGAAAGACCAUCAGAAGCUGAAAAGAGAAGGAGGAGGAGAAUGGUUAAAAGACGAUGGUGUCGCAGAGGUUGCAGAUUAAUGGAGAAUCAGAGGAAAGCAAAAGAGAGAAGGGAGCAUGGUGAGAGAAAGAGAGAGCAAGAGCGAGGAAAAGGAAAUGUGGCCAGAAGAAGAGGAGGGAAGAAAGGAAAUGCGACCUCGCCACUCGGGACAUCAAACAUCAAUGCAGGUGAUUCUUUUUUUUUUUGGAUUUAUCUGAUGAAGGGUCGAUAGGGAUGAGCUAUUAACUUCGUACUUGCCGCGCGAUCUCAACCUCGCUACUUGCUUACUUGAAAGUCAAGGAAUUUGUUUCGGGUAUUGGAGCUUGAUACUCCUGGGGUUUGACCGAGGAUUGUAAGGGAGCAAAUUACUCACCUUUAUAUGGUGAGCUGAGCAUUUCUAUUAGGUUGUUGCCAGAACCCAUGACUCUGGUCAAGUUUAGUCUUAAUUUAAUAUUUAGAUUGAAUUAAUUAAUCUGUGUCAUAUGUGUAU